AUUGAGACGGUAGGGAGUAUAUUUUGAGUUGCCCUUGUGUUCAAAAUAUCCCAUCUUAUCGCGAACCCAAAUCUUCCGCCGUCCGCAACAUAGAGAAUAGGUACGCUCCUUCCUCCCAUCCAUCAUCGGUCGGAUUCUACGUGUUUGGCUGCUGAGAAAGUCCGAUUAAACUUUCCCAGAAAAUUGAUUUGGAAGAAAACAAAAGGCCUCCUUAUUUUUAUCUAAUAUCGGGUUUCGAAGAAUAGUGCGAAUGGAGGUUUUUGCUGAUUGAUCUUAUUAGGGUUUUGAACUUGUUUAAUUGAAGGACGGUAUUGGCGUUUAGGGUUUCUGUGAGGUUUGGUAAUUGGGGGAAGUAGGGCAUUGAUGGCUGAUCGAAAUCUUGCACUUGUUAAGCCAGUAUGGAUGAAGCAAGCCGAAGAGGCGAGGAGCAAGAGCGAGGCUGAGAAAGCCGCAGCGGCAAAAGCUGCUUUUGAAGCCACAUUCAAAGAUGUGGAUAAGAAUCGAGAGAAAGAAGUGGUGGCUGGAUCAGAUAGUGAAUCUGAAGAAGCUGAGGACCUGGCGAACAAGCCCAUUGGACCGGUGGACCCGGCAAAGUGCACUGCAGCCGGGGCUGGGAUCGCGGGUGGUACAGCAUGUGCGCCUUCUUCGUUUAUGGUAGUGACUAAAGACUCUGAUGGAAGGAAGGUUCCAAAUGGUGGGGUGCAGAUUAAGGUGAAAGUAGUGCCUGGAGUGGGAGUUGGGGGAUCAGAGCAAGAAGGGAUGGUGAAGGAUAUGGGUGAUGGGACGUACACAGUUACUUAUGUGGUGCCAAAACGAGGGAAUUAUAUGGUGAGUGUGGAGUGCAGUGGUAAACCCAUCAUGGGUAGCCCAUUCCCAGUGUUCUUCAGUGCAGGUUCUAGUGCUGGAGGACUGCUGGGAUUGGCUCCGCCGUCCACAUUUCCUAAUCUAGUUAACCAAACCAUGCCUAACAUGCCAAAUUAUUCAGCUUCUGUUUCAGGGGCAUUCCCUGGACUGUUGGGAAUGAUUCCAGGCAUUGUUCCUGGUGCUUCAGGAGGGGCUAUAUUGCCAGGAAUUGGAGCAUCUCUUGGGGAAGUUUGUAGAGACUACCUUAGUGGUAGGUGCGCCAAAAUUGAUUGUAAGCUGAACCACCCGCCUCACAAUCUGCUAAUGACUGCGUUAGCUGCAACCACCUCUAUGGGAAAUGUUAGCCAAGUGCCUAUGGCACCUUCUGCAGCUGCAAUGGCUGCUGCUCAGGCAAUUGUUGCUGCCCAGGCUCUUCAAGCCCAUGCUGCUCAGGUGCAAGCACAAGCUCAGUCAAACAAAGACUCUUCUGGUUCACUUGACAAAGCUGGGAAGGCUGAUGUGCUGAAGAAGACGGUUCAAGUCAGCAAUCUUAGCCCACUUCUCACUGUGGAACAGCUGAAAGAACUUUUUAGCUAUUGUGGCACCGUUGUAGAAUGUACCAUUGCUGACUCAAAGCAUUUUGCAUAUAUAGAAUACUCAAAACCUGAAGAAGCAACUGCUGCUUUGCAAUUGAAUAAUAUGGAUGUUGGAGGCCGUCCUAUGAAUGUUGAGAUGGCAAAAUCACUUCCUCAGCAACCAGCUGCUAUGAAUUCCUCAAUGGCUUCAUCAUCUCUUCCUAUGGUGAUGCAGCAAGCUGUUGCCAUGCAACAGAUGCAAUUCCAGCAGGCUUUGCUUAUGCAACAAACUAUGACCGCCCAACAGGCAGCCAACCGAGCUGCAACCAUGAAGACAGCAACAGAGUUAGCUGCUGCCAGAGCAGCAGAAAUAAGUAAGAAAUUUAAAGCUGAUGGAGUAGAAAUUGAAGAGAAGGAAACAAAAGAGAAAUCUAGGUCUCCAUCACCAUCUCGUGCAAGGUCAAAAUCCAGAUCCAGAUCACCUAUAAAUUAUCGCCGAAGGCGGAAGUCUCCUUCUUACUCUCCUCCAUAUCGCUAUCCAAGAGAUCGUAGAUCCAGAUCCCCUUUGAGAUCACGCCACUAUUCAAGCUAUGAUAAUGAACGCAGGCUAUAUAGAGACAUUAGGAAUGAUGGUGACAGAACUAGAAGGCGGGAUUCAGAUAGAUCACAUGAUCAUCAUUUUUCUACGUCACGGAGAAAUAGGAGUAGGAGUGUUAGUCCUAGAACAAGAAAAACACGAGUUGAUUCGGUGUCACCCAAACAUCGACGAGAAAGUUCUCCACGUAGAACUCGAGCUGCGUCUAGAUCACCUGGUCAUCAUACAGGAAGUAAGUCUUCUCCAAGAAAACGCUCAAGGUCAAAGUCUUCAGAAGGAAAACAUCACUUAAGUGACAAAAAAGAUGACACCCACUAUGAAAAAGAAAAACAUGGAGAAAGAAGGCGAUCAAGGUCAGUGUCUACUGAAGGUAAGGGACAUAGAAGACGGUUAUCACCAAGAAGUCCGGAUGAAAAAAAAUCCAGACAGAGAAGGCGGUCUAGGUCAAAAUCUUUGGAAGUCAAGUACCGCUCUAAUGAGAAAUCGGACGAAACAAGAGAUGAAAAAUUAAAACAUCGUAGUAGAAGGCGGUCCAGGUCAAAAUCUUUGGAAGAUAAGCACCGCUCUGAUGAGAAAACAAAUGAAAUAGAUGAAAAAUCAAAGUAUCGUGAUAGAAGACGUUCUAGAUCAAAAUCUGUGGAAGGGAAGCAUCACUUGAAGGAGUUGGGCGAAGGUAGGGAUAAAAGAUCAAAGCAUUGUGAUAGAAGGCGAUCCCGGUCAGUAUCUGUGGAGCCUAAGCACGACAGAAGACGUGGGUCAUCCCCAAGAAGCUUGGAUGACAAUAAAGUGAAGCACAGAAGGCGGUCAAGGUCAAAGUCUGCUGAAGGGAAGCAUCGCUCCAAUGAUAGGGCAUAUAAAAGUAGAGACGAAAAAGAAAAGAGUCAUAGGAGAAGACGGUCCGGGUCUACAUCUGUGGAACCUAAGCAUCAUAGAGGAAGUAUGUUAUCCCCAAGAAGUACGGAUGGAAAGAAAUCAAAACACAGAAGAAGGCGCUCUAGGUCAGAAUCUUCUGAAGGCAAGCAUCCAGCUAGUUGUGGAAGGGAUGAGAAUGGUGGUGAUGGAAAGAAAUCAAAACACAGAAGAAGGCGCUCUAGGUCAGAAUCUUCUGAAGGCAAGCAUCCAGCUAGUUGUGGAAGGGAUGAGAAUGGUGCUGACAAAUCAGAGUAUCAUGAAGAUGGCAAUGAGAAACCAAGUUCGGUGGUGAAAGAUUCAACAAAGAAAAUUGAUGAUGGGGUGGUUAUUUCAGCGGAAGAGGACUUGGACUUGAAGGAAUCAAUGCGAAAUAUGAGAACUGAAGAUAUUCCUCAUAUGAAAAAACAUGGUUUUGUGCAAGAUCUUGAUAGUGAACGAACUUCUAGAGUCUCGUUAAAUGUGGAGGAAAGCAAAGUGGAAGUGUCCAUCACUGAGAAUCUAGCACUUGGAACAUCUGGACUGGAAAAUCAAAUUGGUUGUGAAAAGUUAACUGAUGCAGAUGAUGUUUGCAGAACUGACUCCGGAAAGGAUUACAUCACAGUGAAGGUUCAGAAGAGAAACUCCCUGAUACCUGAUGCAGAUAACGCAGAUAUGUUUUCUGAUGACACCAUUGCAGAAGAGAACUUGUGAAAAUAUGAAACCAGACCCUGGGCUGUUAGGAUUCAAGAGUAUCUGCCGGGGGAGAUGAUGCUGACAAGUGCUGCAGUCACUGCACUGAUAAUAACUUGGUCUAAUUUGAGGGACUAACUGAGAAACUUGAAAAUUCUGGGGAAUGAUCUGUUGCUUCUCAUUGGAAGGGCGAUUUACUUGGAAGCUUGCUUAGCGUUUCUAUUGUUGUAUGGCUCUUCAUAAGUAUACUCUUUUUUUUUUUCUUUUAAUCUUAUUGCAGGUUCUUUGGGUCUCUGAGCUGAUCUGGAUAUGGUUUAAAUAUUUCAAGGAGUGUUCUGAUAUCAUCCACAUCCAACAUUCCAGUGUUUGUAGUGAGCUUCUUUUACUGAUUGAUGUUACGGUGAUUUUGAUUGGAGCUUUCUGAGAUUCAGUUUGGCAGGGUUGAUUUUCUCUGGAUAUGAAGAAAUUGGCUUGGUUAGGUAAAAGCUACUUCUAAGGUCGAGUGAAAUCAGAUGUUGCUGGGAUGAGUUGCACCAAAAUUCCACAACAGGGUGAGCUGUGGAUGGUUAAGCACUGCUGCCUAGGUCUCAACUUGGGGAUCGAUUAUGCUUGACUACAACUUUGGUAUGUAGGAUUUGAUUGGAAUGGACGACGAAUUUGAAGGAUUGGAAUGGACUACCAAUUUCUUCUCUCCUCGUACAUCUUCCCCUCUCCCUUUCUUUUGCUCUCCACUUUGUUCUCGUUUGUUAUGUAGGAUUGGAUUGGACUGGACGACUAAUUUGAAGGCAUAUUGGAGGUAGAAGCAAGUGAUGUUUCAUUUGGAUGGGAUUUGAAGAGGAUUAUACAUCAAGAAAAAAUCCUCCCUUCUAGUCCUACCAUUUUUGGAGAGCAUAUUGGAAUGGAUAAGUUUUCUUCAUGAGUAAUCCAUCGUCUGCCCUCUAGUUGGUUAUAAUGUUUUCAUUUCUCCCUUCAACAUACCUUGAAAUUAGAGUUAUCCAUUCCAUUCCAAUCCAAUCCAAUCCAAUCUUACCAAACGAGGGUUUUUUUUUCUUCGUUUAGAUUUGUUUUCAAGAAAAUUUGUAGUUAAACCUCCAUCACUUAAUGCAAGAGAGCCUUUGCCGUAGUGCGGAGAAAUUCUGAAUUGUGGCUGCCAUACGCAGCAGCACACUUCAAGGCUGUAAGGACCCUUGCAUGUUUGUUCCCACUCGGCGCCACCUCCUUGUGAGUGUGCUGCCGCGUAUCACAGCCUUCAACAAGGAAUUAGAGAGUCGAGAGACUGGCAGUGGUCGUGUUGGCGUUGAGCUGGAAAUUCAUUUUCAUACUUGAUGCUGAUUUCGGCAUCUAAAUUUCAAAUUGAAUGUCGUUUGGUCUCUAUUUGCAAGACACUGUUGCCAUCUAAUCGAUGACGGAUGGUAUUAGUUUGAAAUUUGACACAAUAAGAUAACAAUAAUGGUUAUUGUAGAGAAAAACAAAUCUAUAAGAAUAUUGGAACACUUCUUCCUCA
Molecule: RNA transcript, 5098 nt
Organism: Malus domestica (apple)
Lineage: Eukaryota; Viridiplantae; Streptophyta; Magnoliopsida; Rosales; Rosaceae
Source: RefSeq, a predicted model, not a curated record